Non-coding RNA from Cinara cedri, 350 nucleotides. The record is from the annotation of a GenBank genome assembly. Lineage: Eukaryota; Metazoa; Arthropoda; Insecta; Hemiptera; Aphididae.
GAUAAAAAUAAAUGGAAAUUAUAAAAUUCAAGAAACAAGAGACUCGUAAUAAUCCUUUCUCUUAGAAUGGAUGAUUCAAAAGUGUUGUUUAGAAGAUUUGAUCAUAGGAUAAUCCCCAUUUGUGUGAGACAUAUGAGAUCAUAUGUAAUAACUUAAACUGUAAACCUAGCAAGCAGUGACCUUUAAAAUUUUUGAAAAUUCUUGAAAUUCGUUAAAAUAUAAAAUAAGCUGACAGAAUGAAAAAAGAAUAAAAUUUGUUUGACCUUAUUUUGUAAUAUUGUAAAUUUGAAAUGUGACUUAUAUUUUCUAUUCAUUUAGGAAAAGUGAUUAAAUUAUUACACAUAAUAUAA